RNAcentral lists this unclassified non-coding RNA (387 nucleotides) under fungal sp. Its description in RNAcentral is "partial internal transcribed spacer region". The stretch from base 1 to 46 matches the Rfam family "Eukaryotic small subunit ribosomal RNA", at positions 1786 to 1831 of the family's 1831-position model. The record is from RNAcentral. Lineage: Eukaryota; Fungi.
AAGUCGUAACAAGGUAACCGUAGGUGAACCUGCGGUUGGAUCAUUACCAAUUAUUCAAUUAUUUCUCAUAUUGUUUGGUUGUUUGGAGAAAGAAUUUUUUUUCUUCUUCAAUCAAGUCAAUUUAUGAGAAAAACAUUUUGUGAACAAGUAAUUGUUUUUUGGUGGUUUUUGUUUUUUAUAAAAGCCUUUAAUUUUCUUAAAGGUUUUGCUCUAGUUUUUUUGCUGGAGUGAGGCCACCAAAAGGACUUUUUUCACUGUCUUUUUUUUCAAAGGCAGCUUGGUUUAAAAGGUCUUUUAAACAAACUCAUUAUUAUUAUUAUUAUUUUCUUUUAAAAACAAUAAAAGCCAAUAGAAAAACAACUUUUAACAACGGAUCUCUUGGCUCUC